This 23-nucleotide microRNA is filed under the name Mus musculus (house mouse). RNAcentral describes it as "mmu-miR-7214-5p". Lineage: Eukaryota; Metazoa; Chordata; Mammalia; Rodentia; Muridae. The record is from miRBase by way of RNAcentral.
UGUUUUCUGGGUUGGAAUGAGAA